UAAACCGAGGGCUUAAAUGAGAGGAUCUGGAGAAAAAACUUCCUCUCUGUUCAAAGCUCCAUGGACUCGAGUGAUGGUGUAUGGAUUCAGUCAUAAAGUGCAGCGUAAUGGCCAGCUGAACCUGUUGGGGGCCGUGUGUUUCCCGCUGGACGCCUCUCCGUCCAACACAGGCCUCACUUCUCCACCCACAGCCAACCAGUAUCCUAGCAUCAUCAUCCCCACUGACAAAGUGCACGACAAAUUGGGCGUGUCUCCCCCUCCUGGAGCAGUGCUGGUGUUGCACUCGUUGCUUCUUGAGUUUCCAUUGGCGAUGGCCUUCGCUGAACAGCUGCUAACCUACAGUGUAGGAGAAACCAUAAAGCGCUCUGAGGAUGAGCUGGACACGGUGCCCACUUCUGUGCUCAUUCAGGUCUUGGAGCUGCUAGAACUGUACUGAGUGAGAAAACAACCGUCCUCAAGCCAAAAUCUCCAGAGAAGACCAAACCCGAUGAAAAAGACCCUGAGAAAUCUCCUGCCAAAAAUCUUGAAGUGCCAGAAGAGAAGUUUUUGACGCUGGAAGUUUUCCACAAGUUUACUCUAGACAGAGCCAAGCAGGACAUCCGCAGUGUUUGGCGGGCGAUCCUGGCCUGUGGAUAUGACCUACUCUUUGACAGGUUUGCAGGUUUUAAAAUGAUCUUUGGCUUCACCACAUCAGCGCUCACAUCACAUAUAUCACAGAAAAACAGGCAACACAAAUACAUUCAAUAUCAUCACAUAAACCACAUUAAAAACUCAAUUAUUAAUGAAAUUCUAAUGGCAGUCGGCACAAAGGACAUUUGAUACACAGUUUUCGUUACUUGGGGCAGUCUAAUACAUCUUUUUCUAGGCAAAAGCCUAGAUCCAUUGAUUCCCGACAUGCUCAAAAAGCCAGCAGAAAAUGGAGCUUUGAGAUGGACUUUGCAUUGGUGCAGUUUGUGAACCGUCUCAGCCGUCACCUGGCCAUCACUCCUGCCCGUCUGCAUACACAUGAGGUUUACCUGGUCGCCAGCAAAAAUGGCGCCGAUCCUGAGGUUGCGUGUCUGUUAGGCAAGUCCAUCUCUGUGUUAUCUUGUUCACAGAUGAAGAGUUCAGAUGCAAAAGCCUCUCAAGGGCUGUCUAUUAUUAU
Non-coding RNA from Danio rerio (zebrafish), 1144 nucleotides. Lineage: Eukaryota; Metazoa; Chordata; Actinopteri; Cypriniformes; Danionidae. The record is from RefSeq and is a predicted model, not a curated record.